RNAcentral lists this ribosomal RNA (468 nucleotides) under uncultured bacterium. Its description in RNAcentral is "partial 16S ribosomal RNA". It matches the Rfam family "Bacterial small subunit ribosomal RNA", at positions 28 to 507 of the family's 1533-position model. The record is from RNAcentral.
GACGAACGCUGGCGGCGUGCUUAACACAUGCAAGUCGAACGGAAAGGCCCUGCUUUUGUGGGGUGCUCGAGUGGCGAACGGGUGAGUAACACGUGAGUAACCUGCCCUUGACUUUGGGAUAACUUCAGGAAACUGGGGCUAAUACCGGAUAGGAGCUCCUGCUGCAUGGUGGGGGUUGGAAAGUUUCGGCGGUUGGGGAUGGACUCGCGGCUUAUCAGCUUGUUGGUGGGGUAGUGGCUUACCAAGGCUUUGACGGGUAGCCGGCCUGAGAGGGUGACCGGCCACAGUGGGAAUGAGAUACGGCCCAGACUCCUACGGGAGGCAGCAGUGGGGAAGAUGGAACAAGGGGCGGAAGCCUGAUGCAGCAACGCCGCGUGCGGGAGGACGGCCUUCGGGUUGUAAACCGUUUUCGCCGGUGACGAAGCGGGAGGGACGGUAAGGGGUAAAGAAGCACCGGCUAACUACGUG